GCAUAUCAAUAAGCGGAGGAAAAGAAACUAACAAGGAUUCCCCUAGUAACUGCGAGUGAAGAGGGAAAAGCUCAAAUUUAAAAUCUGGCAGUCUCUGAUUGUCCGAGUUGUAAUUUAGAGAAGUGUUACCCGCGUUGGACCGUGUACAAGUCUCCUGGAAAUGGAGCGUCAUAGAGGGUGAGAAUCCCGUCUUUGACACGGACUACCAAGGCUUUGUGGUGCGCUCUCGAAGAGUCGUGUUGUUUGGGAAUGCAGCACUAAAUGGGUGGUAAAUUCCAUCUAAAGCUAAAUAUUGGCGAGAGACCGAUAGCGAACAAGUACCGUGAGGGAAAGAUGAAAAGAACUUUGGAAAGAGAGUUAAACAGUACGUGAAAUUGCUGAAAGGGAAACGCUUGAAGUCAGUCGCGUUGGCUAGGGAUCAACCUUGCUUUUGUGGGGUGUACUUCCUAGUUAACGGGUCAACAUCAGUUUUGACUGCUGGAAAAAGGCUAGAGAAAUGUGACAACUCCGGUUGUGUUAUAGUCUCUGGUCAUAUACAGUGGUUGGGACUGAGGAACUCAGCACGCCGCAAGGCCGGGUUUUUAACCACGUUCGUGCUUAGGAUGUUGGCAUAAUGGCUUUAAGCGACCCGUCUUGAAACACGGACCAAGGAGUCUAACAUGCCUGCGAGUAUUUGGGUGGAAAACCCGAGUGCGUAAUGAAAGUGAAAGUUGAGAUCCCUGUCGUGGGGAGCAUCGACGCCCAUACCUGAGCUUCUGUGACGGAUAUGCGGUUGAGCAUGUAUGUUGGGACCCGAAAGAUGGUGAACUAUGCCUGAAUAGGGUGAAGCCAGAGGAAACUCUGGUGGAGGGCUCGUAGCGAUUCUGACGUGCAAAUCGAUCGUCGAAUUUGGGUAUAGGGGGCGAAAGACUAAUCGAACCAUCUAGUAGCUGGUUUCCUGCCGAAGUU
This 948-nucleotide ribosomal RNA is filed under the name Marasmiellus candidus. RNAcentral's name for it is "LSU rRNA". It matches the Rfam family "Eukaryotic large subunit ribosomal RNA", at positions 38 to 968 of the family's 3401-position model. Lineage: Eukaryota; Fungi; Basidiomycota; Agaricomycetes; Agaricales; Omphalotaceae. The record is from RNAcentral.